UGAAGAGUUUGAUCAUGGCUCAGAUUGAACGCUGGCGGCAGGCCUAACACAUGCAAGUCGAACGGUAACAUUUCUAGCUUGCUAGAAGAUGACGAGUGGCGGACGGGUGAGUAAUACUUAGGGAUCUGCCCCGGGGUGGGGGACAACCAUUGGAAACGAUGGCUAAUACCGCAUAACGUCUACGGACCAAAGAGGGCUUCGGCUCUCGCCCUGGGAUGAACCUAAGCGAGAUUAGCUUGUUGGUGAGGUAACGGCUCACCAAGGCGACGAUCUCUAGCUGUUCUGAGAGGAAGAUCAGCCACACUGGGACUGAGACACGGCCCAGACUCCUACGGGAGGCAGCAGUGGGGAAUAUUGGACAAUGGGCGCAAGCCUGAUCCAGCCAUGCCGCGUGUGUGAAGAAGGCCUUCGGGUUGUAAAGCACUUUCAGCGAGGAGGAAGGGGUAUGUGUUAAUAGCGCAUAUUCUUGACGUUACUCGCAGAAGAAGCACCGGCUAACUCCGUGCCAGCAGCCGCGGUAAUACGGAGGGUGCAAGCGUUAAUCGGAAUUACUGGGCGUAAAGCGCACGCAGGCGGUUUGUUAAGCUAGAUGUGAAAGCCCCGAGCUCAACUUGGGAUGGUCAUUUAGAACUGGCAGACUAGAGUCUUGGAGAGGGGAGUGGAAUUCCAGGUGUAGCGGUGAAAUGCGUAGAUAUCUGGAGGAACAUCAGUGGCGAAGGCGGCUCUCUGGCCAAAAACUGACGCUCAUGUGCGAAAGCGUGGGUAGCGAACAGGAUUAGAUACCCUGGUAGUCCACGCCGUAAACGCUGUCUACUAGCUGUAUGCGGAUUCAUUUCUGUGUGUAGCGAAGCUAACGCGCUAAGUAGACCGCCUGGGGAGUACGGCCGCAAGGUUAAAACUCAAAUGAAUUGACGGGGGCCCGCACAAGCGGUGGAGCAUGUGGUUUAAUUCGAUGAUACGCGAGGAACCUUACCAGGGCUUAAAUGUAGUGUGACAGGGGCAGAGAUGCCUUUUUCUUCGGACACAUUACAAGGUGCUGCAUGGUUGUCGUCAGCUCGUGCCGUGAGGUGUCAGGUUAAGUCCUAUAACGAGCGCAACCCCUGUUGUUAGUUACCAGCACAUUAUGGUGGGGACUCUAACAAGACUGCCGGUGCAAACCGUGAGGAAGGUGGGGAUGACGUCAAAUCAUCACGGCCCUUACGUCCUGGGCUACACACGUGCUACAAUGGAACGCACAGAGGGCAGCAAACCCGCGAGGGGGAGCGAAUCCCACAAAACGUUUCGUAGUCCGGAUCGGAGUCUGCAACUCGACUCCGUGAAGUCGGAAUCGCUAGUAAUCGUGAAUCAGAAUGUCACGGUGAAUACGUUCCCGGGCCUU
RNAcentral lists this ribosomal RNA (1378 nucleotides) under uncultured Amoebophrya. RNAcentral describes it as "partial Bacterial small subunit ribosomal RNA". It matches the Rfam family "Bacterial small subunit ribosomal RNA". The record is from RNAcentral. Lineage: Eukaryota; Dinophyceae; Syndiniales.